CGAGGCAGCAGUAGGGAAUCUUCCGCAAUGGACGAAAGUCUGACGGAGCAACGCCGCGUGAGUGAUGAAGGCUUUCGGGUCGUAAAACUCUGUUGUUAGGGAAGAACAAGUACAAGAGUAACUGCUUGUACCUUGACGGUACCUAACCAGAAACGGCGGC
Molecule: ribosomal RNA, 160 nt
Filed under: uncultured bacterium
Lineage: Bacteria
Description: partial 16S ribosomal RNA
Rfam family: Bacterial small subunit ribosomal RNA
Source: RNAcentral